UAGGGUCUCGUAGGUGACCUGCGGAGGGACAUUACACAAAUAUGAAGGCGGGCUGGAACCUCUCGGGGUUACAGCCUUGCUGAAUUAUUCACCCUUGUCUUUUGCGUACUUCUUGUUUCCUUGGUGGGUUCGCCCACCACUAGGACAAACAUAAACCUUUUGUAAUUGCAAUCAGCGUCAGUAACAAAUUAAUAAUUACAACUUUCAACAACGGAUCUCUUGGUUCUGGCAUCGAUGAAGAACGCAGCGAAAUGCGAUAAGUAGUGUGAAUUGCAGAAUUCAGUGAAUCAUCGAAUCUUUGAACGCACAUUGCGCCCUUUGGUAUUCCAAAGGGCAUGCCUGUUCGAGCGUCAUUUGUACCCUCAAGCUUUGCUUGGUGUUGGGCGUCUUGUCUCUAGCUUUGCUGGAGACUCGCCUUAAAGUAAUUGGCAGCCGGCCUACUGGUUUCGGAGCGCAGCACAAGUCGCACUCUCUAUCAGCAAAGGUCUAGCAUCCAUUAAGCCUUUUUUUCAACUUUUGACCUCGGAUCAGGUAGGGAUACCCGCUGAACUUAAGCAUAUCAA
RNAcentral lists this ribosomal RNA (563 nucleotides) under Alternaria alternata. RNAcentral describes it as "eukaryotic LSU rRNA". The stretch from base 200 to 353 matches the Rfam family "5.8S ribosomal RNA". The record is from RNAcentral. Lineage: Eukaryota; Fungi; Ascomycota; Dothideomycetes; Pleosporales; Pleosporaceae.